GACGAACGCUGGCGGCGUGCUUAACACAUGCAAGUCGAACGGAAAGGCCCUGCUUUUGUGGGGUGCUCGAGUGGCGAACGGGUGAGUAACACGCGAGUAACCUGCCCUUGACUUUGGGAUAACUUUAGGAAACUGGGGCUAAUACCGGAUAGGAGCUCCUGCUGCAUGGUGGGGGUUGGAAAGUUUCGGCGGUUGGGGAUGGACUGGCGGCUUAUCAGCUUGUUGGUGGGGUAGUGGCUUACCAAGGUUUUGACGGGUAGCCGGCCUGAGAGGGUGACCGGCGACAAUGGGACUGAGAGACGGCGCAGACGCCUACGUGAGGCAGCAGUGGAGAGUAUUGCGGAGUGGGCGGAAGCCUGAUGCAGCAACGCCGCGUGCGGGAUGACGGCCUACGGGUUGUAAACCGCUUUGGCCUGUGACGAAGCGUGAGUGACGGUAAUGGGUAAGGAAGCACCGGCUAACUACGUG
This 468-nucleotide ribosomal RNA is filed under the name uncultured bacterium. Its description in RNAcentral is "partial 16S ribosomal RNA". It matches the Rfam family "Bacterial small subunit ribosomal RNA", at positions 28 to 507 of the family's 1533-position model. The record is from RNAcentral.